UACAGAGGAUGCAAGCGUUAUCCGGAAUGAUUGGGCGUAAAGCGUCCGCAGGUGGUUUUGUAAGUCUGCUGUUAAAGCGUUAGGCUCAACCUAAUAAGGGCAGUGGAAACUAUGAGACUAGAGUAUGUUAGGGGUAGAGGGAAUUCCCAGUGUAGCGGUGAAAUGCGUAGAGAUUGGGAAGAACACCGGUGGCGAAAGCGCUCUGCUAGGACAAUACUGACUCUGAAGGACGAAAGCUAGGGGAGCGAAUGGG
RNAcentral lists this ribosomal RNA (253 nucleotides) under uncultured bacterium. RNAcentral describes it as "partial 16S ribosomal RNA". It matches the Rfam family "Bacterial small subunit ribosomal RNA", at positions 524 to 776 of the family's 1533-position model. The record is from RNAcentral.